GAGGGUAUAGCUCAGUGGUAGAGUGUGUGCUUAGCAUGCACAAGGCCCAGGGUUCAAUCCCCAGCACUUCCA
This 72-nucleotide transfer RNA is filed under the name Camelus bactrianus (Bactrian camel). It matches the Rfam family "tRNA". From Rfam's summary of the family: Transfer RNA (tRNA) molecules are approximately 80 nucleotides in length. Their secondary structure includes four short double-helical elements and three loops (D, anti-codon, and T loops). RNAcentral also lists the same sequence under 2 other names. Lineage: Eukaryota; Metazoa; Chordata; Mammalia; Artiodactyla; Camelidae. The record is from Rfam by way of RNAcentral.